This 945-nucleotide ribosomal RNA is filed under the name Acanthofungus rimosus. RNAcentral describes it as "eukaryotic LSU rRNA". It matches the Rfam family "Eukaryotic large subunit ribosomal RNA", at positions 29 to 960 of the family's 3401-position model. Lineage: Eukaryota; Fungi; Basidiomycota; Agaricomycetes; Russulales; Stereaceae. The record is from RNAcentral.
UGAACUUAAGCAUAUCAAUAAGCGGAGGAAAAGAAACUAACAAGGAUUCCCCUAGUAACUGCGAGUGAAGCGGGAAAAGCUCAAAUUUGAAAUCUGGCGGUCUCCGGCCGUCCGAGUUGUAGUCUGGAGAAGCGUUUUCCGCGUUGGACCGUGUACAAGUUUCCUGGAACGGAGCGUCAUAGAGGGUGAGAAUCCCGUCUUUGACACGGACCCCAAUGCUUUGUGAUGCGCUCUCAAAGAGUCGAGUUGUUUGGGAAUGCAGCUCAAAAUGGGUGGUGAAUUCCAUCUAAAGCUAAAUAUUGGCGAGAGACCGAUAGCGAACAAGUACCGUGNAGGGAAAGAUGAAAAGCACUUUGGAAAGAGAGUUAAACAGUACGUGAAAUUGUUGAAAGGGAAACGCUUGAAGUCAGUCGCGUCGACCGGGACUCAGCCUUGCAUUCGCUUGGUGUACUUUCCGGUUGACGGGCCAGCAUCAGUUUUGACCGCGAGAUAAAGGUGGGGGGAAUGUGGCUCUUUCGGGAGUGUUAUAGCCCUUUGUCAGAUGUCGCGGUUGGGACUGAGGAACUCAGCACGCCUUUAUGGCCGGGGUCCGCCCACGUACGUGCUUAGGAUGCUGGCGUAAUGGCUUUAAACGACCCGUCUUGAAACACGGACCAAGGAGUCUAACAUGCCUGCGAGUGUUCGGGUGGAAAACCCGUGCGCGUAAUGAAAGUGAAAGUUGGGAUCCCUGUCGUGGGGUGCACCGACGCCCGGCCCAGACCUUUUGUGACGGAGCUGCGGUAGAGCAUGUAUGUUGGGACCCGAAAGAUGGUGAACUAUGCCUGAAUAGGGUGAAGCCAGAGGAAACUCUGGUGGAGGCUCGUAGCGAUUCUGACGUGCAAAUCGAUCGUCAAAUUUGGGUAUAGGGGCGAAAGACUAAUCGAACCAUCUAGUAGCUGGUUCCUG